CUACUGUACACAGUACAAGGACCAUUGGCAGAGUUGGGUUUGCAGCUACAAGCAUCUGAUUCUGGUGAAACUGGGGAAAAGAAUGAAGAUUACUAUAGUGAUUUUUUGCUUGGUGGGGGCGGUUUAUGCCAACCCAAUUCUGUACAAAGUUAUUUUGGAGCAGAGUGAACUGGAAUCAUCAAAC
This is a long non-coding RNA of Coregonus clupeaformis (lake whitefish), 184 nucleotides long. RefSeq lists it as uncharacterized. The transcript has 3 exons. The record is from RefSeq and is a predicted model, not a curated record. NCBI's taxonomy places the organism in Eukaryota, Metazoa, Chordata, Actinopteri, Salmoniformes, Salmonidae.